RNAcentral lists this ribosomal RNA (223 nucleotides) under uncultured bacterium. Its description in RNAcentral is "partial 16S ribosomal RNA". It matches the Rfam family "Bacterial small subunit ribosomal RNA", at positions 111 to 334 of the family's 1533-position model. The record is from RNAcentral.
UAACGCGUGGAUGACCUGCCCCGUGGUGGGGAAUAACUGCCCGAAAGGGUGGCUAAGACCGCAUGCGCUCCCAUCUUCAGUGGUGGGAGGAAAGCCCGUGAGGGCGCCAUGGGAGGGGUCCGCGUCCGAUUAGCUAGUUGGUGGGGUAACGGCCUACCAAGGCGACGAUCGGUAGCUGGUCUCAGCGGAUGAUCAGCCAGACUGGGACUGAGAGACGGCCCAG